Molecule: unclassified non-coding RNA, 3608 nt
Filed under: Daphnia magna
Lineage: Eukaryota; Metazoa; Arthropoda; Branchiopoda; Diplostraca; Daphniidae
Description: uncharacterized LOC116921560, transcript variant X5
Source: RNAcentral
UCAGUGCCCAUCAGCGGUUUCUAAGCGACAGUGUGUGUCAAUUUUAUUUCUCAAAUAGAACGUAGAGCUGUUGCGUCCUUUUUAAAUUUUCUUUCUUCUAUUCAUAACAACUUAAUCCAGAUAGUUAAUUAGUUAAAUGGGAUUACUUAUCUACUUAUUAUUUUGUGCUUUUCUGAUCACCAACACAUACGUAUGGGCACAUGCCGAAAAUGUACUGAAUGGUAAAGACAACCAAGCGACUGGUUGUGGACCAGACGAGUGUCAACAACUGCGCGAUCGUCUUGAGAUUGUAGAAGCCGCCAUACGAAGUCUUGUAACCGUUUUAGCAAGCCAAAAGAAUGAACAAAGUGUUACAAUUAAUUCAAUGAUUGUAAGCGAUCCAGCCCUGCGAGCAAUUCUUUCACCCCCCAAUGUCCAUAUUCCGGCCAACAAUGUGACACUAGCAAUUGGUGAAGCAGCGGACACUCAAGGAAAAAAUGCAGUCCAUUAUUUAAAGGGAGGAGUCAAAUGUUCUCUUGCCCACUUAGUAGACGUCAACUAUUCUGCAACAGGGAAUAUUACAGCGACCUUGGCUAAAAACAACUCGCUGCAAAUUGAAUGGACAUUGAUCUCCACGGAUUGCAUUAAAUUCAGUUCGGGAGUCUGGAUCCGAAUUUUCGACGAAGAAUCAAAUCAACAUCAGUCAUAUUCAGCCAAGACAUAUUUAGAGAUACCGAAUAAAUGUUUGAAAAGAAGGGCAAAUGCUUCCUUCUCCAUCGUUCUUCCUCCACCGUCGGUAAAGGCAUCACUUCCUAGAAAACCAAAUUCGUGCCAUUUUAAACUACCGGAUGCUCUGAUUCGAUGCUUGGCGUACACAGUUGAAGUGGUUCCAAACUAUCAGUCCCUAAUGGGGAGACCGCUACUAACAAGAAUAGUUAUUCCACCUGAAGAAGGUAAAAAGGUUACCCCGUUGUUGGAAUUCCAAGCAUUUAGCCACUCGGAUUCACUAUCUUUGAAAUGGCAAGACAAUUCUGGUUGUGCUCCGCAAAUGAGUUCCAUCAUUUUGAAAAGUUUUCCGGAUAAUGGGCAGAGCGUUUCAAAUACAAACUCAUCCGUCAAAAUCCCUCGCAGUUGUUUGCAAAAUGAUGAUGGAAAACAAAAUGAUCACUUGUUUUCGCUGACAUUGUCCAACCAACAGACGUGUCCUGUCGAAUGGAAACGUUUGGAUGCAUGUCGAAGUUACAGGGUGGACUUAACAUCCGAAUAUUCAGAGGCUUGGACCAGUGGAACGUCUUCUUUAGAAAUCUUUACUACGCAACAUGGAAUGUUCCCAGACAACCCUUUUGUGUGGUAUUGUGAAACAUCCACUUUUUAUUGUAACAGUAGCGAUUCCAAAAACCAUCAUACUUGCUGGGGUAAUCGCUACAUCUGUAGUGAGGAUACCGAUAUUGACUGUGAUUUAGGCAUUCGUAUGAACUGCGAUAAAAGGUGCGCUAAAGGAUUCCGCUGUGGACUCCAAUGCAUUUCGACUGAGCAAGUCUGCGAUGGAAAAUACGACUGUUUUGAUGGUUCAGAUGAGCAUUACGAUUGUGAUUAUGCUAGGCAUUGCAAUCAACUGACUGAAAGCUCUGGCCAUUUUUCCUCCCUAAUAAGAACUCCUGGUGUACCGGUCAAACAGCAACAUUUCCUCAGUGCAGUGCAAAAAACAAUUGUUUCCAUUGCAGUACAAGCAAACCAUACCGUGUGGUUAUCUUUCCACAAAUUCAACACCCUUACAGAACACUUCUUAAAUGUUUACGACGGGCCAUAUUCAACCAGUCCCCUUCUAAUGUCAUACAGCGGAUCUAUCAAGCCACUGUCUUUUCGCUCUUCGUCUAAUACCUUAUACGUGGAAUUCCCGUCUUAUUACUACAAUCAAAGUUAUGGCGUCGACGUCUUCUACACAAGUAUGCCGAGUACUGGAACACCAUUUAUUCCAGGAUGUGGGGGUUAUGUCUACGAUAACGGUGAGGUUUUCUCGCCAGAUUUUUUCGAUGACCUUGUUGGCGAUUGUGUUUGGUUUGUUGAAGCCCGGCAAAAUGGAUACGCUAUUUUCUUGAAGCGAAAUUAUACCAUAUCCACGAAUCAACCCAAAAUAACUGUACGUGACGGUUGGAGCUCUUCCGGAAAAGUGUUGUACGAUGAACAAGAUUCUUCUCAAAGAAGGAUGGUGGUACACUCCAUAACGCGCAAGUUAACGGUGCGAUUCCGGCCACCGACAGUGAUUGCAUAUAGAACCUACUUUUACUGGAAUGUCACUAGUGUAUCUACCACUGAAUGCGAACAAAAUCUUGUUGGAUUGUCUGGAACAAUCAAAAGCCUCAACUAUCCUGCAUUGUAUCCAAAUUCUUCAGACUGUCGUUGGGCUAUUUUUACACCACCUGAUACGAAAAUUCGAUUGUUUUUCCCAACAGUUGAAACGGAAGAAGGUUUUGACUAUGUCUGUGUGUAUGACGGACCGACAACAAGUUCUCGGCUUCUUCUAGAGAAAUCAGGAUUGGAUUCUGCUCUUUUCACAGUCACCUCAUCCACGAAUGAGAUGCUCGUCAGGUUUACGUCAGAUGAACUAAUCAGUUUCCCCGGAUUUUUGGCUAUUUACUCAAUUGUUUAAACUGAUGUUUUCCACCACAGAGAUUCAUGAAGUGACAAGUUAUAGAACAAUCAGGGAACGCAAGAAAUUCAAGAUCCAUUCGCGGAUUACAACUGCAACUUACCCGUUAAUUUUGGAUUGUUGAUGUGCUGCGGUACAAAGUUGAUUUUAUUUCGCUAGUUGCAGAUGAUCAUUGGACAUGUAGGAGACGAUCUGCGUUCAGCCAUUGGGUGAAACGACGAGAAAGCAUUUGUUGGUCACAUUUCCGUUACGUGGAGGCUGGAAGGGGAGGGAGGUUAGUAGUAAAGAGCAUAACAAUUGCGAUCAAAGAAAUAGGUGGUUUUGGUGGUUGGGGACGUCGAUAAUGAUUUGGUUGAGUUGACAACGUUCGCCACCAGGCGUAAAUUUACGAACGUCUAAGCUCAUCAGUUACCCGGCGUGAUUUACGGUUUCUCCCGCCAGAGCAGUUGCACAUUUAUUGACACUUGCAAUUCUUAGCCGCUCUUUUUGUUAAACAAGGAUUUUUACGUGUCAGUGAAUUUAUUCGCAAAGCUUUUGCGUCAUAUUUAACGAACAUAAGCCGAUCGCCGCCUGUUAAUGUUGACGAAUUUGAACUGUUCACAAUCCCUGCAGAUACAAUCCGACUCGAUUACGUAAUUUGCCAAUUAUAAGAUUUAACUUUGCAUCGCUUUUUAAUUGAACUACUCAUUUUAGAUCAAAUGAGAAAAGUCUAAUUACCGUUGAACUAUGUUGACUCAAGCCAGCUUAUUCAGAAAGAGGCGAAGAUGGGUCCUCUUCGCCGCGUUUCCUUCGAGAACCUUCUCAUACUCUCAUUUGAAUAAUAAUUUUUUUUUUCUCAUUUGCCAUUUAGAAUUAUGCUAGCUUCUUCUGAAAAUUAAUUUUUUUUUAUUUGUAUUGAUUUGUUUUACUGUUCUAAAAUUAGGAUUUCCAACUAAAAAUCAAUGUUAGUUUUACAAAAAACAAAAAAAAAAAGGCUCUA